GUGCCAGCAGCCGCGGUAAUACAGAGGGUGCAAGCGUUGCUCGGAAUCAUUGGGCGUAAAGGGUAGGUAGGUGGUCUCAUUUGUGUGGGGUGAAAGCCUUGGGCUUAACUCAAGAAGUGCCCCGCAAACGGUGAGACUGGAGUCCUAGAGAGGCUAGCGGAAUUCCCGGUGUAGCGGUGAAAUGCGUAGAGAUCGGGAGGAACACCAGAGGCGAAGGCGGCUAGCUGGAUAGGCACUGACACUCAACUACGAAAGCGUGGGGAGCAAACAGGAUUAGAUACCCUGGUAGUCC
RNAcentral lists this ribosomal RNA (292 nucleotides) under uncultured bacterium. Its description in RNAcentral is "partial 16S ribosomal RNA". It matches the Rfam family "Bacterial small subunit ribosomal RNA", at positions 505 to 796 of the family's 1533-position model. The record is from RNAcentral.